RNAcentral lists this ribosomal RNA (468 nucleotides) under uncultured bacterium. RNAcentral's name for it is "partial 16S ribosomal RNA". It matches the Rfam family "Bacterial small subunit ribosomal RNA", at positions 28 to 507 of the family's 1533-position model. The record is from RNAcentral.
GACGAACGCUGGCGGCGUGCUUAACACAUGCAAGUCGAACGGAAAGGCCCUGCUUUUGUGGGGUGCUCGAGUGGCGAACGGGUGAGUAACACGUGAGUAACCUGCCCUUGACUUUGGGAUAACUUCAGGAAACUGGGGCUAAUACCGGAUAGGAGCUCCUGCUGCAUGGUGGGGGUUGGAAAGUUUCGGCGGUUGGGGAUGGACUCGCGGCUUAUCAGCUUGUUGGUGGGGUAGUGGCUUACCAAGGCUUUGACGGGUGGCCGGCCUGGGCGGGGGACCGGCCACAUUGGGACUGAGAUACGGCCCAGACUCCUACGGGAGGCAGCAGUGGGGAAUAUUGCACAAUGGGCGGAAGCCUGAUGCAGCAACGCCGCGUGCGGGAUGACGGCCUUCGGGUUGUAAACCGCUUUCGCCUGUGACGAAGCGUGAGUGACGGUAAUGGGUAAAGAAGCACCGGCUAACUACGUG